GACGAACGCUGGCGGCGUGCUUAACACAUGCAAGUCGAACGGCAAGGCCCUGCUUUCUUGGGGUGCUCGAGUUGCGAACGGGUGAGUAACACGUGAGUAACCUGCCUUUGACUUUGGGAUAACUUCAGGAAACUGGGGCUAAUACCGGAUAGGAGCUCCGGCUGCAUGGUGGGGGUUGGAAAGUUACGGCGGGUGGGGAUGGACUAGCGGCUUAUCAGCUUGUCGGUGGGGUAGUGGCUUACCAAGACGUUGACGGGUAGCCGGGCUGAGUGGGUAAGCGGCCCAGCCAGGACGGAAAUGCGGCACAGACUACUACGGUACGCAACGGUGGGGUGAGGUGUCCUCUGGGCGGAAGGCUGACGCGGUGACGCAGCGUGCGGGAUGGCGGCCUUGGGUUUGUAAACCGCACUCGCCUGUGACGAAGAGAGAGUGACGGUAAUGGAUAAAGAAGCACCGGCUAACUACGUG
This 468-nucleotide ribosomal RNA is filed under the name uncultured bacterium. Its description in RNAcentral is "partial 16S ribosomal RNA". It matches the Rfam family "Bacterial small subunit ribosomal RNA", at positions 28 to 507 of the family's 1533-position model. The record is from RNAcentral.